GAGGCAAGAGCCGGGUGAACCACUGAGUGGCAUUUCUGAGCAUUUGCCGGAUUUUGUCACUCUAAACCGUGAGGACUGGGGAGAACCAGGGCGAGGUGGUGGCGGCGGGAGCCCUGUCACGGAACAGACACCUGCUCGCACUCACCGCCCACGCCCAGGCGGCAGGCGUUGGCUCGUCCUCCCAUCUGCAGCACAGGCACUGGCAGCAGGGCCCGCCUCUGCGCGUCCCUCCCGUCCUUCUGGGCGGUUGGUGUGGGGACUACGGGAAGCUGGUACCUUAGGGCUAGUGGCGUGGCCGGGAACCCUAGACUCGAGUGCUCGGUGGCAGAAUCGAGUUUGAGUUUGGUGUAGUUCAAGUUUAAAAUACAGUGUUCGAGCUGUUUCUAAGGUGGACUCCACUUCCCCCACCCGCGGGACCACAGUCUUCGCCGACGCCCCGCCAAGAAACCGCUUGUGGGGAUGGGGUGAAGAAAGC
This 475-nucleotide long non-coding RNA is filed under the name Rattus norvegicus (Norway rat). RNAcentral's name for it is "long non-coding RNA NONRATT025919". Lineage: Eukaryota; Metazoa; Chordata; Mammalia; Rodentia; Muridae. The record is from RNAcentral.